RNAcentral lists this non-coding RNA (45 nucleotides) under Trichobilharzia regenti. The record is from RNAcentral. Lineage: Eukaryota; Metazoa; Platyhelminthes; Trematoda; Strigeidida; Schistosomatidae.
AUCCAGACUAUGAGUCCUGAAUAGGACGAAAUGCACGUCCUGGAU